GUGAACUGUAGCAAGCUUGCAAUCAUCACAGCACCACAGCGAUAACGCGUAUAGGUAUUGACGUCACAAUGAAAUCCCUGGUCGCCAUGUUAUGCUUAAUGUUAUUGAUAUCCGUUAUAUUAUUGGAACCAUGUGAAGCUGCCGCUAGAGGUCAUGGGAAUGUUCAACAUUCGAAAAAUCACGUGAAGACUCCAAGACGUGAUCCUUUCCACAAAAGGCGUAUUACAGAAAAUUCACGACCACAUUUUUGAUAUCCAUUGGCAUGACAGUGGAGGGUGAAGGUGAACCGUCUGGCGUUUUGGUAGUACAAUAAUAAAUAAUAUACAUCAAAGAGAUCCAUA
Molecule: long non-coding RNA, 341 nt
Organism: Saccoglossus kowalevskii
Lineage: Eukaryota; Metazoa; Hemichordata; Enteropneusta; Harrimaniidae
Source: RefSeq, a predicted model, not a curated record